GUACUAGAAUGAAUGGUUUAACAAGAAAAAUUAUUUUAAUAAUAAAUAAAUGAAAUUGAAUUUUAAGUAAAAAUGCUUAAAUAAAUUAAUGGGACGAUAAGACCCUAGAAAUUUUAUUAUUUAAUUAUAUUUUAUACUUAUUUAAAUAAAAUAUUAUAUUUAAUUUAAUUGGGGAAAUUAUUUUUAUUAAAUAAAAUUAUGAAUUAACCUUAUUUAAGCAUUUAGGUCCUUAAAGGAUAAUUAAGAUUAAUUACUUUAGGGAUAACAGCGUUAUAAUAUUUAAGAGUUCUUAUCUAUAUAAUUUUUACGACCUCGAUGUUGAAUUAAAAAAAUCUGAUUAAAGCAGUAGUUAAUUAAGAAAGUUUGUUCAACUUUUUAUUUGUUACAUGAUUU
This 393-nucleotide ribosomal RNA is filed under the name Byblisoides sp. BOLD:ADF5381. RNAcentral's name for it is "partial 16S ribosomal RNA". Lineage: Eukaryota; Metazoa; Arthropoda; Malacostraca; Amphipoda; Ampeliscidae. The record is from RNAcentral.